Molecule: unclassified non-coding RNA, 337 nt
Filed under: soil metagenome
Description: partial contains 5.8S ribosomal RNA, internal transcribed spacer 2, and large subunit ribosomal RNA
Rfam family: 5.8S ribosomal RNA (bases 1-120)
Source: RNAcentral
GAUGAAGAACGCAGCGAAAUGCGAUAAGUAGUGUGAAUUGCAGAAUUCAGUGAAUCAUCGAAUCUUUGAACGCACAUUGCGCCCCAUGGCAUUCCGUGGGGCAUACCUGUUCGAGCGUCAUUUCAACCUUCGGGCGGUCCUUUGGUCCGUCUGGAUUUGGGUGUCGUCUAAUGGCGUGCCAUAAAAGAAUUGGCGGUGUAGGUGCCGGCUUCGAGCGUAGCAGAUGCGAUUCGCUUUGGAAGCUGGCGUGCUCACCUUGCCAGAAAAGUCUCUGAAGAGCUGACCUCGGAUCAGGUAGGGAUACCCGCUGAACUUAAGCAUAUCAAUAAGCGGAGGA